Molecule: ribosomal RNA, 243 nt
Filed under: uncultured Actinomycetales bacterium
Lineage: Bacteria; Bacillati; Actinomycetota; Actinomycetes; Actinomycetales
Description: partial 16S ribosomal RNA
Rfam family: Bacterial small subunit ribosomal RNA
Source: RNAcentral
UACUCGAGUGGCGAACGGGUGAGUAACACGUGGGUGAUCUGCCCUGCACUUCGGGAUAAGCCUGGGAAACUGGGUCUAAUACCGGAUAGGAGCCAUCUUUAGUGUGGUGGUUGGAAAGUUUUUUCGGUGUAGGAUGAGCUCGCGGCCUAUCAGCUUGUUGGUGGGGUAAUGGCCUACCAAGGCGGCGACGGGUAGCCGGCCUGAGAGGGUGUACGGCCACAUUGGGACUGAGAUACGGCCCAG